GGGUAUAAAUAGUUUAACAAUUACUGUAUUCCCAAAGCAGGUCCGUAGCCAGACACAAUUUUUUUAAGGCAAAGCUAGUAAUUCAAUAAUUCCACAAUGUAAUUACAAAAAAUAGAGCUAUUUUUGGAUAUUUCUGAAUUGAAAACGAGGUGCGUGCCUCGCUCGCAUCUUGCUAGCCAUGGCCCUGCAAAGGGGAGAUAAAUAGUGGUGGAUAUAUUAUACAAGAAAUGAAGCGUAGAAGUUUAUAUCCUGCUGCCAGUGUUCUCCAACCGUCUUAACAUUUGGUGUGGGUAGUAUACAUGCAUUUACUGUACAUAAUUGUUACUUUCUUAAUAUUUUGUAGGGCUGUUACUUGGAAAAGUCACAUUCUUUUCAGAAGUUUCUUGGGCACAUCAAGCAUGUCAUGGAUCCUGAAGAAGGGAACAUUGGCCCAGAAGUUAUCAAAAGAAAUUCUGGUGGAAACGGCAUCAUAAUCACAGGAAUGGAUACCAUUCAUCAGAAUGUGACUGACCUGCCAAGAUUUCAAGGUGUCUCUUUCACCAUAGCCAAAGAAACAGAUGAAAGUCCUCCCUGAUCACCUAUGUACUGGGGAACUGGUCAGUGGCACGACAGGAAGGCCCGAGUAUGGCAGAAGUGGCAGACCACGACAAUGGUAUUGCCACUCUAGCGAGAAAGUGUUGUGGUGAAGGCGAUUCUGUUCUUUUAUUUCUACCUUCAAUGGCCACCAUCUUGCAAGAGGGACGAAACUGUAUCAUGGUUUCUAUAGAAAGUGAAAAGGAGCUACUACGUAGCAGAGUUUUAGCUGAUUUAGAAAAUUUAGAAGACAAUGUAGAAGACAAUGUA
This is a long non-coding RNA of Nematostella vectensis (starlet sea anemone), 843 nucleotides long. RefSeq lists it as uncharacterized. The transcript has 2 exons. Lineage: Eukaryota; Metazoa; Cnidaria; Anthozoa; Actiniaria; Edwardsiidae. The record is from RefSeq and is a predicted model, not a curated record.